RNAcentral lists this ribosomal RNA (576 nucleotides) under uncultured bacterium. RNAcentral describes it as "bacterial SSU rRNA". It matches the Rfam family "Bacterial small subunit ribosomal RNA", at positions 102 to 674 of the family's 1533-position model. The record is from RNAcentral.
ACGGGUGAGUAAUACAUCGGAACGUGCCCUGUAGUGGGGGAUAACUAGUCGAAAGAUUAGCUAAUACCGCAUACGACCUGAGGGUGAAAGUGGGGGACCGCAAGGCCUCAUGCUAUGGGAGCGGCCGAUGUCUGAUUAGCUAGUUGGUGGGGUAAAGGCCCACCAAGGCGACGAUCAGUAGCUGGUCUGAGAGGACGAUCAGCCACACUGGGACUGAGACACGGCCCAGACUCCUACGGGAGGCAGCAGUGGGGAAUUUUGGACAAUGGGGGCAACCCUGAUCCAGCAAUGCCGCGUGUGUGAAGAAGGCCUUCGGGUUGUAAAGCACUUUUGUCCGGAAAGAAAUCGCACUUACUAAUAUUAGGUGUGGAUGACGGUACCGGAAGAAUAAGGACCGGCUAACUACGUGCCAGCAGCCGCGGUAAUACGUAGGGUCCAAGCGUUAAUCGGAAUUACUGGGCGUAAAGCGUGCGCAGGCGGUUGUGCAAGACCGAUGUGAAAUCCCCGGGCUUAACCUGGGAAUUGCAUUGGUGACUGCACGGCUAGAGUGUGUCAGAGGGGGGUAGAAUUCCACGU